RNAcentral lists this ribosomal RNA (460 nucleotides) under uncultured bacterium. RNAcentral describes it as "partial 16S ribosomal RNA". It matches the Rfam family "Bacterial small subunit ribosomal RNA", at positions 338 to 795 of the family's 1533-position model. The record is from RNAcentral.
CCUACGGGAGGCAGCAGUGAGGAAUAUUGGUCAAUGGACGAGAGUCUGAACCAGCCAAGUAGCGUGAAGGAUGACUGCCCUAUGGGUUGUAAACUUCUUUUAUAUGGGAAUAAAAUGUUCCACGUGUGGGAUUUUGUAUGUACCAUAUGCAUAAGGAUCGGCUAACUCCGUGCCAGCAGCCGCGGUACUACGGAGGAUCCGAGCGUUAUCCGGAUUUAUUGGGUUUAAAGGGAGCGUAGGUGGAUUGUUAAGUCAGUUGUGAAAGUUUGCGGCUCAACCGUAAAAUUGCAGUUGAAACUGGCAGUCUUGAGUACAGUAGAGGUGGGCAGAAUUCGUGGUGUAGCGGUGAAAUGCUUAGAUAUCACGAAGAACUCCGAUUGCGAAGGCAGUUCACUGGACUGCAACUGACACUGAGGCUCGAAAGUGUGGGUAUCAAACAGGAUUAGAUACCCCUGUAGUC